RNAcentral lists this small RNA (116 nucleotides) under Marmota monax (woodchuck). The record is from RNAcentral. Lineage: Eukaryota; Metazoa; Chordata; Mammalia; Rodentia; Sciuridae.
GGUGGGCAUAGUGGUGCAUGCCUGAAUUCCCAGUGACUUGGGAGGCUGAGGCAGGAGGAUCACUAGCUUCAGAAACUUAGCAAGGCCCUAAGAGACUUAGUGAGGCCCUGUCUCAA